GUUUCAGGGCGUGGUGAAAGUCCACACCGGCGGUGAUAGGAGCGAUGUUUUGUGAGAUUCUCCUUAAGUCCGCGAGCAUUUGCAGAACCAGUGAGAAUCUGGUACCGACGGUAUAGUCCGGAUGAAAGAAA
RNAcentral lists this non-coding RNA (131 nucleotides) under pig gut metagenome. Its description in RNAcentral is "FMN riboswitch (RFN element)". It matches the Rfam family "FMN riboswitch aptamer (RFN element)". Rfam says of the family: The RFN element is a highly conserved domain that is found frequently in the 5'-untranslated regions of prokaryotic mRNAs that encode for flavin mononucleotide (FMN) biosynthesis and transport proteins. This element is a metabolite-dependent riboswitch that directly binds FMN in the absence of proteins. The record is from RNAcentral.